Gasterosteus aculeatus aculeatus (three-spined stickleback) is the source of this 1842-nucleotide long non-coding RNA. NCBI's taxonomy places the organism in Eukaryota, Metazoa, Chordata, Actinopteri, Perciformes, Gasterosteidae. The record is from Ensembl.
CGGAUGCAACUCGAUUAUCUCUAAAGACGCGACGCACGAAAGCCUUCAGCAGCGUUUCACAACCGUGACAUGUUGACACUUUAUUUCCCCACAUUUCCUGAGAGCUAUAGCUUUGCAGCUAUCUUCCUCGUUUUGACUUCCUCUUUGCAGCGUGAGGCUCGAUGGUCAAAGGAAUUGUCUUGCGCACGGAGUCAUCACUGCGAACUCCUGCGAGGGGAAGAGGAGCGUCGCAGUCUCACCCCGGCGCUGCUGCAGCGUCGAGAGAUCCCACCACGCAGAUUUGGGUCAUUCACUUGGUGCCAGGUGUAAUACAGCUGAGAUGGAAAGGAUCCUCUGAACAAGCAGAACUUCUCUAUAAAAGCAGGGUCCAUAUUCAACUGUAAUUCUGAAAGGAACGUUCAGUCCUGCUGUCUUCACCCCAAUAUUCCUCCACCUGAAAUGGAAUAUAGCACCUAUUACAAGGCUCUCUCUAAUAGGUCCAACACUCUGAAUCAGGUGGCCAGUAAGGAGGUGCUUGUUUCCAGUAUUGUCCUCGAGGCUUUAGGAGAUUGACAACCACGUUGUUUGUCACUAUCGACGUUAAGCAGGAAGCGAACACGUGGACGGUUUCUUUGCAACCAUUCCAGGAAGCUGCUUCAAGUGCCUGAAGUCCCAUCGAAAGGAUGUCGCUGUAUUCACGUCGCUCCAGAGGACUUUGUCCAGUCUCACUUUCUCGAAGUCAACCUCCUUCAAUCCUGUGGUGAUACACACACCCUUGUGUAGCCUCUCUUCAGGAAGGCUGCAGAUUGCUCAUCACCAGGGGAGGUUAGCGGACAGUGGAUGCUACUGUAAAAAUCACAAAGGGUCUGAAGAGGAGGCCGUGGAUCCUGGAUGGAGUCGAAUCCAUUUCAAUCAAUGUCACCAAUUAAUAAUAAGACAAUUAGCAAGUGAUAUAAUACCAAAUUCCUCUCUCCCGCUGAAUAACUUUAACCUCGAACCCGGCCCCACUCCUGCUGCUGAAGCUGCCAGAGGAGCUGUUGAAAGAGUUUUUUUUUUAAUGCGAGCCGGCGUUCAGUCUACCAGUCUGGUUUAGAUCAGCCUGUCCAACAUGGAGAGGAACAGAAUGCGCACACAGACGGACCUGCAGAAGAUCACAGCAGAAACACGCUUACCCGCUUACUCCUUAUUUGACCGAGCACAGUGUCAUUGUGUUUCAACCACUUCCCUUUCUGCUUGACUGCCCUUCGUUUCUGGAUGUGGGAUUAUAAAAAAAAAAGGAUUAGUGUCAGGUAGUUUUAGCGUCCAGGACAACAGUAUUUGUUUGGAAUGUUAUGAAAAAAACGUAAAAGUAACAAUAGUGAAACAAAUUGUCCUGUAUAAGUACAUUGGGAGCAAAUCCUUCAACAUAUUCUGAUAUUUAACUGCCACAACGACAUAUUUUUGGGGUGUCUUCAAGGUUUUUUAUUAUUGCUGCAGAGAAUAAGCUGUCUGCGGCCGCAGGGGGGCAGAGGGGAGCGCUCAAUUUCCCUCGUGGGACAUCCCGGAAAAGAUCACAGAUGCAAUAUUUAGUGAGUCAAGGCCUGAGACAAAAGUUCAGAGCAAUGAAAUACAAACGUUUCCAUGCGCUUAUGUCAGGGGUUAUCUUUUGAAUCUGGCAUUAUUUAUCACAGGUAUUUAGUUUCCUUAAAAUCAAAAUGUCCCUGCAUUGUUAUGUGAACAGACGGAUGCGUGUUUAUGGCGCAGAUGCUGAAUGCUCAACUGGGUAGCGCAUUCCUAAUUUAAGAGAGACAUCUGGGGACUUUUCGGCAGUGACAAAAAUCCUCACGUCAACUAGAGACAUGUUUGUACCGCAGAGGAGUUGUG